AGCGAACGCUGGCGGCAGGCCUAACACAUGCAAGUCGAACGAACUCUUCGGAGUUAGUGGCGGACGGGUGAGUAACACGUGGGAACGUGCCUUUUGGUUCGGAAUAACUCAGGGAAACUUGUGCUAAUACCGAAUGUGCCCUUCGGGGGAAAGAUUUAUCGCCAUUAGAGCGGCCCGCGUCUGAUUAGCUAGUUGGUGAGGUAACGGCUCACCAAGGCGACGAUCAGUAGCUGGUCUGAGAGGAUGACCGGCCACACUGGGACUGAGACACGGCCCAGACUCCUACGGGAGGCAGCAGUGGGGAAUCUUGCGCAAUGGGCGAAAGCCUGACGCAGCCAUGCCGCGUGAAUGAUGAAGGUCUUAGGAUUGUAAAAUUCUUUCACCGGGGACGAUAAUGACGGUACCCGGAGAAGAAGCCCCGGCUAACUUCGUG
Molecule: ribosomal RNA, 433 nt
Filed under: uncultured bacterium
Lineage: Bacteria
Description: partial 16S ribosomal RNA
Rfam family: Bacterial small subunit ribosomal RNA
Source: RNAcentral